This 1439-nucleotide ribosomal RNA is filed under the name uncultured bacterium. Its description in RNAcentral is "bacterial SSU rRNA". It matches the Rfam family "Bacterial small subunit ribosomal RNA". The record is from RNAcentral.
AGAGUUUGAUCAUGGCUCAGAACGUACGCUGGCGGCACGCCUAACACAUGCAAGUCGAACGAAGUAGCAAUACUUAGUGGCAGACGGGUGAGUAACAUGUGGGUAUCUGCCCUUUGGCCUGGAAUAACACGAGGAAACUUGUGCUAAUACCGGAUAAGUCUUUACGGAGAAAGCUUUAUGCACCAUUGGAUGAGCCCGCACUUGAUUAGUUUGUUGGUAGGGUAAUGGCCUACCAAGACUGUGAUCAAUAGCUGAUUUGAGAGGAUGAUCAGCCACAUUGGGACUGAGACACGGCCCAAACUCCUACGGGAGGCAGCAGUGGGGAAUCUUGCACAAUGGAGGAAACUCUGAUGCAGCGAUGCCGCGUGAGUGAAGAAGGCCCUUGGGUUGUAAAGCUCUUUCGUCGGGGAAGAAAAUGACUGUACCCGAAUAAGAAGGUCCGGCUAACUUCGUGCCAGCAGCCGCGGUAAUACGAAGGGACCUAGCGUAGUUCGGAAUUACUGGGCUUAAAGAGUUCGUAGGUGGUUGAAAAAGUUGGUGGUGAAAUCCCAGAGCUUAACUCUGGAACUGCCAUCAAAACUUUUCAGCUAGAGUAUGAUAGAGGAAAGCAGAAUUUCUAGUGUAGAGGUGAAAUUCGUAGAUAUUAGAAAGAAUACCAAUUGCGAAGGCAGCUUUCUGGAUCAUUACUGACACUGAGGAACGAAAGCAUGGGUAGCGAAGAGGAUUAGAUACCCUCGUAGUCCAUGCCGUAAACGAUGUGUGUUAGACGUUGGAAAUUUAUUUUCAGUGUCGCAGCGAAAGCGAUAAACACACCGCCUGGGGAGUACGACCGCAAGGUUAAAACUCAAAUGAAUUGACGGGGACCCGCACAAGUAGUGGAGCAUGUGGUUUAAUUCGAAGAUACGCGCAGAACCUUACCAACACUUGACAUGUUCGUCGCGACUCUAAGAGAUUAGAGUUUUCGGUUCGGCCGGACGAAACACAGGUGCUGCAUGGCUGUCGUCAGCUCGUGUCGUGAGAUGUUGGGUUAAGUCCCGCAACGAGCGCAACCCUCACUUUUAGUUGCCAUCAUUAAGUUGGGCACUCUGAAAGAACUGCCAGUGAUAAGCUGGAGGAAGGUGGGGAUGACGUCAAGUCCUCAUGGCCCUUACGUGUUGGGCUACACACGUGCUACAAUGGUAUCUACAACAGGAAGCAAGACUGCGAGGUCAAGCAAAUCCUUAAAAGAUACCUCAGUUCGGAUUGCACUCUGCAACUCGAGUGCAUGAAGCUGGAAUUACUAGUAAUCGUGGAUCAGCGUGCCACGGUGAAUGCGUUCCCGGGUCUUGUACACACCGCCCGUCACACCAUGGGAGUUGGUUCUACCUUAAGGCAAGGUUUCAAACCCUUGACCACGGUAUAGUCAGCGACUGGGGUGAAGUCAUAACAAGGUAGCCGUA